AAAAAAAAGAGUUUGAUCCUGGCUCAGAAUCAACGCUGGCGGCGUGCCUAAUACAUGCAAGUCGAACGCGAAAGUGGAGCAAUCCAUGAGUAGAGUGGGCAAACGGGUGAGUAACGCGUGGGUGACCUGCCUUUCGAGUGGGGGAUAACGUUCCGAAAGGGACGCUAAUACCGCAUGACAUCCUGCCUUUUAAGAGGUGGCGAUCAAAGCCGGGGAUCGUAAGACCUGGCGCUUGAAGAGGGGCCCGCGUCCGAUUAGCUAGUUGGUGGGGUAACGGCUCACCAAGCGACGAUCGGUAGCCGGCCUGAGAGGGCGGACGGCCACACUGGGACUGAGACACGGCCCAGACUCCUACGGGAGGCAGCAGUAGGGAAUUGUUCGCAAUGGGCGCAAGCCUGACGACGCAACGCCGCGUGGAGGAUGAAGAUCUUCGGGUCGCAAAACUCCUUUCGAUCGAGACGAAUGAUCUUCGGACUAACAAUCCG
This 485-nucleotide ribosomal RNA is filed under the name uncultured Acidobacteriota bacterium. RNAcentral describes it as "bacterial SSU rRNA". It matches the Rfam family "Bacterial small subunit ribosomal RNA", at positions 1 to 471 of the family's 1533-position model. The record is from RNAcentral. Lineage: Bacteria; Pseudomonadati; Acidobacteriota.